AGUGAACGCUGGCGGUAGGCCUAACACAUGCAAGUCGAACGGCAGCACAGUAAGAGCUUGCUCUUACGGGUGGCGAGUGGCGGACGGGUGAGGAAUACAUCGGAAUCUACUUUUUCGUGGGGGAUAACGUAGGGAAACUUACGCUAAUACCGCAUACGACCUACGGGUGAAAGCAGGGGAUCUUCGGACCUUGCGCGAUUGAAUGAGCCGAUGUCGGAUUAGCUAGUUGGCGGGGUAAAGGCCCACCAAGGCGACGAUCCGUAGCUGGUCUGAGAGGAUGAUCAGCCACACUGGAACUGAGACACGGUCCAGACUCCUACGGGAGGCAGCAGUAGGGAAUAUUGGACAAUGGGCGCAAGCCUGAUCCAGCCAUACCGCGUGAGUGAAGAAGGCCUUCGGGUUGUAAAGCCCUGUUGUUGGGAAAGAAAAGAAGCAGGUUAAUACCCGGAUGUUCUGACGGUACCCAAAGAAUAAGCACCGGCUAACUUCGUG
Molecule: ribosomal RNA, 492 nt
Filed under: uncultured bacterium
Lineage: Bacteria
Description: partial 16S ribosomal RNA
Rfam family: Bacterial small subunit ribosomal RNA
Source: RNAcentral